AAAACCCGAAAAAUCUCGAACCCGAACCCGAAUAGGUAUCCAAACAUAUCUCAAAUAUAAGUAUAUUUUAAUCGGUAACAUACUCUCCAGCGUUUAGAAAUUGGUUAAUCGGUAAAGACUACGACCAAUCAGUUAACAGCCGACCGCUCUACCACUUUAUACUUAUAUAUAGAAAAUAUUAGGAUGUUUUGGAUAUUUUAGUUAUUUUGUGUAUUUUUAGAUAUAUUCAAACAAAACUACUCGUGUUGUUUUGGGAAUUUUUGAAAUUUUCAAGUAAUUUAAUAGAUUUGCACACAAAAUUUGAUAUUUCAAUAUAUAAAUAAACUCGAACCCGAACCCGACCUAAAAUCAUAAAUUACCUCAACGGGUCCUAAACUUCUAAACCCAAAAAACCGAACCCGAAAUACCCGAUCCGAAUACCCAAACGCUUAGGGCUAAUAAUUAAUAAAAA
Molecule: long non-coding RNA, 451 nt
Filed under: Arabidopsis thaliana (thale cress)
Lineage: Eukaryota; Viridiplantae; Streptophyta; Magnoliopsida; Brassicales; Brassicaceae
Description: natural antisense transcript overlaps with AT4G33300 (AT4G08785)
Source: RNAcentral